This 253-nucleotide ribosomal RNA is filed under the name uncultured bacterium. Its description in RNAcentral is "partial 16S ribosomal RNA". It matches the Rfam family "Bacterial small subunit ribosomal RNA", at positions 524 to 776 of the family's 1533-position model. The record is from RNAcentral.
UACGAAGGGGGCGAGCGUUGUUCGGAUUUACUGGGCGUAAAGGGCGCGCAGGCGGCGGAUCAAGUCAGACGUGAAAGCCCCGGGCUUAACCUGGGAACUGCGUUUGGGACUGAUUUGCUAGAGAUCGGGAGAGGAGAGUGGAAUUCCCAGUGUAGAGGUGAAAUUCGUAGAUAUUGGGAAGAACACCGGUGGCGAGGGCGGCUCUCUGGACCGGUUCUGACGCUGAUGCGCGAAAGCGUGGGGAGCAAACAGG